RNAcentral lists this ribosomal RNA (525 nucleotides) under Triticum aestivum (bread wheat). RNAcentral describes it as "partial small subunit ribosomal RNA". Lineage: Eukaryota; Viridiplantae; Streptophyta; Magnoliopsida; Poales; Poaceae. The record is from RNAcentral.
AUGCAGGCGCACCCGGACAGGGUCGCCGUCGCCGUCUUCGCCUCCGCCGCCAUGCCGGCCGCCGGGAAGCCCCUCAAGUUCGUCUCCGAACAGUUUGCGCAAGAAAGGGGCCCGGGUUUCUUCAUGGACAGCGUGAUCGAGACCACCGGCGGCGACGACCCGGAGCGCGCUUGCAAGACGUUCCUGCUGGGGCCGGAGUACAUGGCGCAGCGGCUGUAUCAGCUCAGCCCGCCGGAGGACCUGACGCUGGCGACGAUGCUGGUGAGGCCGUCGCGGCAGUUCGUGGACGACGCCGCGAUGAACGGGGAGGGGGUUCUCACGGCGGAGAGGUACGGCGCGGUGAGCCGCGUGUACAUCAUCGCCGAGGAGGACGUCUCGUGGUCGCCGGAGUUCCAGCGGCGGAUGGCGUCGUGGAACCCCGGCACGGAGGUGCGGGGGCUGGCGGGGGCCGAUCACAUGCCCAUGUUCUCCAAGCCCAGGGAGCUCUCGGACCUCCUCGUGGAGAUAGCCGACAAGUACAUCUGA